RNAcentral lists this ribosomal RNA (733 nucleotides) under Metschnikowia cubensis. RNAcentral describes it as "eukaryotic LSU rRNA". The stretch from base 1 to 404 matches the Rfam family "Eukaryotic large subunit ribosomal RNA", at positions 2599 to 3003 of the family's 3401-position model. The record is from RNAcentral. Lineage: Eukaryota; Fungi; Ascomycota; Pichiomycetes; Serinales; Metschnikowiaceae.
CAGAAACUGUCUAAUGGGGAGUUUGGCUGGGGCAGCACAUCUGUUAAAUAAUAAUGCAGUGUCUUAAGAGGGUCUCAUGGAGACAGAAAGCUCCAGUAGAAUAAAAGGGUAAAAGCCGCUUGAUUCUGAUUUUCAGUGUGAUUACAAACCAUAAAAGUGUGGCCUAUCGAUCCUUUAUAUUCACCUCAGAAUUUGAGGCUAGAGGUGCCAGAAAAGCUACCACAGGGAUAACUGGCUUGUAAAAGUCAAGCUUUCAUAGCGACAUUGCAUUUUGAUUCUUCGAUGUCUGCUCUUCCUAUCAUACCGAAGCAGAAUUCGGUAGGCGUUGGAGUGUUCACGCACUAAUAGGGACGUGAGCUGGGUUUAGACCGUCGUGAGACAGGUUAGUUUUACCCUACUAAUGGACAAUUGUUCCGACUCUGCUCCGUCUUCCCGCCUCUUUACUCCCCUUUUUCGAAUAGUUAUAUAAACAGCUCUGAUUCCUCCUUUGAGAAAACAUCAACGAAUACAGCGAGCUUAGUACUAAAGUUGUACCUAGAAUCUAGCAGGUAUGGUAUAGCACCAUAGAGUACACUUAGUCAAAGACCGACAGUAUACUCAAAAUAUUACUACAAGUAAUCCAUAGAGAAAAUCACAUACCGAAAGGUGGCCGUAUGGAGUACAUCUUAGGAAGGGAGGCACGUAUAAUAUAUAAUUGACUGGAUUUUCAUACCAUGAUUUAAUAAUUGUCUAG